This 321-nucleotide long non-coding RNA is filed under the name Erythranthe guttata (spotted monkey flower). Its description in RNAcentral is "long non-coding RNA (EGUT_LNC001945)". The record is from RNAcentral. Lineage: Eukaryota; Viridiplantae; Streptophyta; Magnoliopsida; Lamiales; Phrymaceae.
AAUACUCGGUUCUGCCUCGGACGAGACAGAACCAGGGGAAUUCUUCGGUGAAUUAUCGAAAUCGGACUUUUUAACGGCAGAAUUGCGGAGGGGAUCAGUGUCGAUUUCGCGAAAACCCUUCAUUAACUAAAUCAUGAGAUUCAAUGAGUGGCGCCCCAUUAGAACAGCUUCCCUAUAAUAAAUAAGAAUCAGUGAUUUUGAUCAUCUGGGCAGGAAAACAAAAUUAGGUCUAUUAACUAUCAAAUUAAAACAGGAAUUAAAUGUACAUCUAUCUCAGAAUUUAAAUAGCAAAGAAAACAAAAAUCAAACUGAUCUGUAAUU